RNAcentral lists this ribosomal RNA (468 nucleotides) under uncultured bacterium. RNAcentral's name for it is "SSU rRNA". It matches the Rfam family "Bacterial small subunit ribosomal RNA", at positions 26 to 518 of the family's 1533-position model. The record is from RNAcentral.
AGGACGAACGCUGGCGGCGUGCUUAACACAUGCAAGUCGAGCGGAAAGGCCCUUCGGGGUACUCGAGCGGCGAACGGGUGAGUAACACGUGAGCAACCUGCCCUUAGCUUCGGGAUAGCUCCGGGAAACCGGAAUUAAUACCGGAUAUGACUAUGGCCGACAUCAGCCAUGGUGGAAAGUUUUUCGGCCAGGGAUGGACUCGCGGCCUAUCAGCUAGUUGGUGAGGUAACGGCUCACCAAGGCUACGAUCGGUAGCUGGUCUGAGAGGAUGACCAGCAUCACUGGGACUGAGACACGGCCCAGACUCCUACGGGAGGCAGCAGUGGGGAAUAUUGGACAAUGGGCGCAAGCCUGAUCCAGCCAUGCCGCGUGGAUGAUGACGGCCUUAGGGUUGUAAAGUCCUUUUAACGGGGAAGAUAAUGACGGUACCCGUAGAAUAAGCCCGGCUAACUUCGUGCCAGCAGCCGC